This is a long non-coding RNA of Lycium ferocissimum, 1512 nucleotides long. RefSeq lists it as uncharacterized. The record is from RefSeq and is a predicted model, not a curated record. NCBI's taxonomy places the organism in Eukaryota, Viridiplantae, Streptophyta, Magnoliopsida, Solanales, Solanaceae. The transcript is spliced from 8 exons.
AUUAAUAAGUGAAGCUUCUUGGAACGACGAAGGGUACAAAUGUAAAUACGCAAGUCCCUCACACUACGCUCUAAAUAUCCACGUGUGCCCUUUUCUGCUCCAUCUUGCUUCACUUUCUUCUUCUUCUUUGUUAUUCUAUUCAUUCUGUUUUUGUCUCUUCUACAUGUGCUGAUAAUUGCUCAUUUCUUUUUGUCUUUGUUUUUGGUUCGUUUGAUGUUACAUUUUUGCUCAAUCAGAGAUGGAUCAAAGAAUUGAAAGAUGUGAUACUGACGAUUGACUUAGAUGCUUCUCCACCGACAGAGAUUUGAUUCGGAGGUAAUCAUGAAUAGACAAUUUAUUAGUCAUUUAGUUGGAAUAUAAUGGUUGCAAAAUUAUGAUUUCACGGGUUUUGAAAGUAGUAGCCGAUCAAGGGAAGAAAAUGGCACUGCUUGUGUCGACUCUAAGAGAUUACUCCGUGAAAGUUUAUUGGAGAAACAAAUUGGAAGAUUAAAGCUUUUCUCUUUAUUCGUGAAAGAGCCGCGAUGUUGAUGAAUGAGAUAGAGUUUUCUUGUGCCUAGAGAACUACUAAAGAAGCAGCAUAGCCAGUAACAACUUUCUGAUACAUUCAACCUUUAUUUGAAGAAAGUAGAGAGUUCAAAAAAAGCAAAACAAUGACAACAAGCCUGUAAUGGACGGAACAACUCAUAGUGCUUGUUUCUAUUUGGUGACCUGUCAGCUUGAGGAGCUAAAUAUGUGCGGAAAUAUCUAAUAAGAAAAAAAAAUGUGGACUGUGACAACGAGAACAAGUCUAACAAUCAAGACAAGCCUCAUCAAAUAGGAGGAAGAGGUGAGAAGCACAACUUUCAGGCAAAGCAGAUCAAACGGGAAUCUUAACAAGAAAAGGAAGGAUGAAGAAGAUGCAAGCAAUGAAAAUCCUGCAAUUGAAAAGAGAACUCGUGUUUUUUGGUCUAUAAAGUUUCGCAGGGAUUCCUAAUGAAAGCUUGACAUAGAGCUUCAUAGGAAGCUUGUUGCAGCAGUUAAUUAUUUAUGCAUUGGAAGUGAUUUUCUUUAGCAUCACUGUGGUUAAUUUUGACCUGAUGAAUGUUGAAGGAGUUACAAGAGGGAAUGUGGCAAGCCAUCUCCAGCCUAUCAUUUGUUGUUGGGGAAGAGAUAUUGACCCACGUAAUAUUGGUCGGAAACAAAUGAAGAAUCACAGGUACUCUUCUUUCGAUAAGGUCGGGAGAAAAUGACGAUGCUGCGGACGAGAACGGAUGGAGGUUGCUUGAACAAGUUUAAGAUGAGCCCCUAUACGUAAAACCACUUGGUGUCAUAAGUCAUUGAAUGCUUGUUUAGUUGGUAAAAAAGAAGUAUGUGAAUCUAUGUUUUUGUUGUAAAUAUUAAAUUAUAAUAGGUUCAUUACUAUUAGACCAACUUUGAGAUGAAUGCAAUAGUUUUUUUUAUAUGGACAAGAGUUAAGUAGCUCUUUAGUUUUCAAGUUAAUCUUAAGAGUCUGGAUUGGAAAAUUUACAUUUU